Long non-coding RNA from Dreissena polymorpha, 834 nucleotides. RefSeq lists it as uncharacterized. The record is from RefSeq and is a predicted model, not a curated record. Lineage: Eukaryota; Metazoa; Mollusca; Bivalvia; Myida; Dreissenidae. The transcript is spliced from 6 exons.
AUCAAAAACUGUACAGUGUGACUGAUUCGGAGACGGCCCCUCAACACUCGCCCAGUCGUGUCGAGAGGAUCGGUGUCUUUGCAGAUUACACGGAAUUGAGCACCCGGGCCAGACUGACACUUUCCGGAGCCUGCCCUAGACGGAACUCGAGCCGAGGGAUCAUAGGUCCAGGCGGUGUCGAAAUGGGUCUAUAGCUCUGCCUGAACUGUCGUCCAAUUGGUUUACAAGUCCGGCUGAAGUGACAGGCCAUCAAAAACUGUACAGUGUGACUGAUUCGGAGACGGCCCUCAACACUCGCCCAGUCGUGUCGAGAGGAUCGGUGUCUUUGCAGAUUACACGGAAUUGAGCACCCGGGCCAGACUGACACUUUCCGGAGCCUGCCCUAGACGGAACUCGAGCCGAGGAAUCAUAGGUCCAGGCGGUGUCGAAAUGGGUCUAUAGCUCUGCCUGAACUGUCGUCCAAUUGGUUUACAAGUCCGGCUGAAGUGACAGGCCAUCAAAAACUGUACAGUGUGACUGAUUCGGAGACGGCCCUCAACACUCGCCCAGUCGUGUCGAGAGGAUCGGUGUCUUUGCAGAUUACACGGAAUUGAGCACCCGGGCCAGACUGACACUUUCCGGAGCCUGCCCUAGACGGAACUCGAGCCGAGGAAUCAUAGGUCCAGGUGUGACAAAAGACUUAAAGCUCAUGUCUGACGAUGACUUUUUUUAGUCAGGAAGCCAAGUGUGUUGUUUUUCCAUGCAAGCGAGCCCUUUUGUUGGGUCAAAUGACAUCAGCAUUGCUGCUUCUACAUGGAUUUUACCUAAAAUGUGCAAAAAAAAUAUAAAAAGUUU